RNAcentral lists this ribosomal RNA (484 nucleotides) under uncultured bacterium. Its description in RNAcentral is "partial 16S ribosomal RNA". It matches the Rfam family "Bacterial small subunit ribosomal RNA", at positions 29 to 507 of the family's 1533-position model. The record is from RNAcentral.
AUUGAACGCUGGCGGCAUGCUUUACACAUGCAAGUCGGACGGCAGCGCGGGCUUCGGCCUGGCGGCGAGUGGCGAACGGGUGAGUAAUACAUCGGAACGUGCCCAGUAGUGGGGGAUAGCUCGGCGAAAGCCGGAUUAAUACCGCAUACGACCUGAGGGUGAAAGCGGGGGACUUUACGGCCUCGCGCUAUUGGAGCGGCCGAUGGCAGAUUAGCUAGUUGGUGGGGUAAAGGCCUACCAAGGCGACGAUCUGUAGCUGGUCUGAGAGGACGACCAGCCACACUGGGACUGAGACACGGCCCAGACUCCUACGGGAGGCAGCAGUGGGGAAUUUUGGACAAUGGGCGCAAGCCUGAUCCAGCAAUGCCGCGUGUGUGAUGAAGGCCUUCGGGUUGUAAAGCACUUUUGGCAGGAACGAAAAGUGCCGUGCUAAUACCACGGUACGAUGACGGUACCUGCAGAAUAAGCACCGGCUAACUACGUG